ACAGAGAUAAAUAAAAAUUAAAGUAUUUAUUACCUCAGAAUACAAACAACAUAUAAUGAGAUACAAGGCCUUAAAUAGUGACAGAAGGAACAGGUUUAUGUGUAUGUGUAAUAUGUUUUCGGAUGUUUCCUUUGGCUCUGAGACAAGAUUAGCCUUCCUGCCCAAUCUACUGAAGGCUGGAAAGUAGUCCUGUUUAUAAAGGCUCGGGGCUUCUCACCCCAUUUCCUAGCUUGUCCCAACCAGAGUAGAAAGUUUAGCCUUCCAAAAUGUCUGCCUUUGUUGUACUAAGACUUCCCAGCCUGUCUUGUGAGCAUGUCUCAGAAAAGGCAGGCUGUGAGCAAAUACCUGCCAUCAUUUUAAACAUGACUGUCCACCAGUCUCCAGGUAGUUUUCUCUUCACUGCAUUGGCUUGGAAGCUCCUGGGCCUUUCAGAGGAGUUAGAUACCAGGACCACCCUGAGAUGGAGAACACGAUGGACCCCUAAUAUGAGAUCAUCAAGAUCAUCACUACUCACCCUAGAAGAGACAUGAAGAGCUCAUCCAGCAAAGCAGCAUCAUACCCAUCCUGCAUGGCCUUUCUUAAGAAUCAGAUACCAAUGACGACUCAUGUUCUGCCUCCAGGAAGCUACAGGGCUGAUAUGAAACACUCUGAAAUGUCUCCAUUCCUUACUCAGAAACUGAACUCACAGAGUUAUGGACAACAAGAAGAUUUCUGUUUUUAAAUAUUUGGGAGAUGCUCAGAUAUUGUGAUGAUGGGGGGCCAUAACUGCCUAAGUGGAAGAUAGCUAAUGGGGCAAAGCUAGGGCACUGUUUUGACAGCAGCCAAAAAAACCAAAAUAAAUAAACCAUGUGAAGAUUUCUCCUUAUAGCCACAGGAAAUUUGAGCCCACCAUGCUCCCAAAGCACCCUUCCUAGGACAUUGAAAACAGAGCCAGGAAAAAUAGGACAUAACCAAACAGCCCCAUGUUUCCCCAAGAUACUUUCUCCCACCUUACAAUGGAGAAGAGCAUUACCCCAACUACACCUCUGUUCAGGUUCUAGCUUUAAUGCAGGAAGCCUUUGGAUUUGCUAUAUUUAUUUAUAAUUUUAGCCAAUAAAAGUUGCAAUUUGGGGGAUAAAGGUUACUCAUUUUCAUUUUUAUCCUGUGACUUUUUAACAAAUUUUUCAAUAUUCUGUUUUAAUUUUUUGGUUGUGUGACUUCCUUUGUUUACUAAGCAUGUUCUUUCUUAUGACUACUUUAUGAAAAAUAAAUUGGUUCAGCUCUGUCA
This is a long non-coding RNA of Mauremys reevesii (Reeves's turtle), 1267 nucleotides long. RefSeq lists it as uncharacterized. The record is from RefSeq and is a predicted model, not a curated record. NCBI's taxonomy places the organism in Eukaryota, Metazoa, Chordata, Testudines, Geoemydidae. The transcript is spliced from 2 exons.